AGCCUCCUUGCGUUCUCUCCUCCCCGACUGUCUCCAGACCAUCCAGUUAGGAGUUGGGGGGCUCCACCUCCCGCUCCGCCGGUAGUCCACUACAAGCUCCUUGGUCUCUCCGACGCUGAGCUGGAGGCGAUCGGUGCCACACACAUCUGCACUCCAUGUUGUCAAAUGUUUUAUUCACACUCUCAAGAUUAAAAUAAAUAAAAACCCUAAUAAGACCCAAGUCCAGCCAAUAUAAUUGAUAUUCUAUGAUUCAAAGCAAAAAUGGAAACAAUUGAAUUAUUUUGAAAGUACGUUAAAAAAAAAAAAAAAAAAAAAAAGCCUACCCCAGCUCCUCUCACUCACAGAAGUUACCAAAAAUGUGGCCAAGCUUACAGAGGAUAAAAGCAACAAGUAACUUGAUUUAUGACUAAGAUAUUUGACUGUUAGUGUCUAAUUUGAUAUUCAUAUGUAACACUGAAGACAGUAUGCAACAACUUGGCAUUUUUGAAGCACGUUUUUAAAUAGACAAGCACUUGCUUCAUCUUGAAAUAGAGUUUCGUGGUAUAGUCAUGUGAAGGAGUUAAACACAAACGUUCUUCCACCUAGCAUCCUGGGCUAUGCACUAGUGUUCUGUGUCUGGGUCAGACCACCCUGUGAAAAUAUAUAUAUAAAAAAUAUAAAAAAAGCUUUCACAGCACAUUGCCACCUUUAUUACACAAAGACAUGGAUUAGCAUUACAACCUAGACAUUAUGUGAAAGCAAGUUUCAUACUUAGGUAACUAUCGUAAGUAAUAGUCAAACAAUUCUCAAAACCCAGCACCAAUAAUAAACUGAAAAUUGAUGAGAUUCCACCUAGAUGAAAAAAUGUAAACUUGGGGACCUUUAAAUUGUAACUUUUUAGCGUUCUGAUCUCCUGGCGUAGUUUUCUCGUUGAAAUGUGCGUCUCGCUCAAUUUCUCGUUGGAGACGUUCACAUUUCUUGUAAGCUGGGGGUUUUUAACAGCACUUGGAUUAGACAUUUACAGUUCCAAUGAUUCUAGCAUGUUUUUUUAACAGCUUUUAUGUCCAUACCUGUCAGGUAAGUGUCCUCGCUGUAUAAUGAGGGAGCAGUCAUAGAUGAAGCACCUGGGAGGUAGUCACGUCACGUCACGCAUGCAGAUGAGAGUUAGAAUUGUAGUCACGCAAACACACAGGCAAUAAACACGGUUUUCCCACAAGAUUUUACUUUUUGAACUAGUUGCCCCACGUCCACUAUUACACUGGGCUUUCUUGAGAGGGACGAGCCAUGCCUAUCGUUAACAGAUUGUACACACUCUCAGGCAACAUGCACAAUUUAAAGAGGUUAGGCAUGAAAUUAAGGCAAAGGCAUGCUAUGUAAUAUGAAUGAACAUGCAAUAACUCAAAACAAAGGGCAAGUGCCCAGGGUUUGUGUGGGAAAAGCCAUCUGAAACCUCGAGCCCUUCUUGUUGCAACUACAUUUUUUACAACAUCUAACGGUUGGGACGAUCAGUGAAGCCAUUUAUUUUUAGUUUUUAUAAUCCAGUAUAAUUAACUGUACAAUAUAGUUAUAAUGUCCACAAAUACAAGGCAAAGCUCUACUAACAAACUAGCUUUAGCAUGGGAGCGCUCACCAGACACUGUAUGAGCUGAGGAGGUGGAGAUGGCAUCUUCAGGCACAGUGGGAAGUGCUGACCAGCACAGAAGCUACACACAAGCAUUUGUUUUUUGCAAGAAUGUCGGCCUAUGGUCUUCAAACCUACCCAAUGCUAACAACGCACUUUAAAGACUUCAAAAUAAGCACCACAAUUUUCGAUUGGUUAGUACCAGCAUGCAAAGCGCCAGGAAUGCAUCAUCGGCCAAUCACAGUCCACCAAAAACACCAAUUAGGAAACUCUUCGUUGAGGGGUGUUGAACCACUGACUAGAGAUCAUUUAUGUGGUUCAACCCCCCUAAUUGGUGUUUUUGCAUGCUGGUACUAACCAAUCGAAAAUUGUGGUGCUUAUUUUGAACUCUUUAAAAUGCGUUCCAAAGAUUCCUUGCUAUUUUAUAAAACAAUUGGGUUCUAUUGAAUUAUUUGGCUGUUUCUGAUUGGACGAGAGACGUUCCAUGAGUUGGAAUAUCCCAGGACAUCCCAACUCGGACUUUUCACAGCUAAUAAUAAAUCACUCCGCGAUGAAACAUUCUAUAGCACGUUGAUACAAUUAAGCGAUAACCGUUAAUUCAAAGUUCUUAUAAUUCCAAAAGACGUUGACAAUGCAGCUAUUUUUUUGUUGCGGAGAAACAAUGGCGAAAUAAACAUGUUUUAAUCAAUAACUUCGUGUUUAAAUGUUAAUUGGUUGACUAUAAAAUUGUUUUAUAAAAGCAAUAUAGUACUCGUGCGAGUGGGGUAGGUAAGGGAUAUUCCCACGGGUGUUGUUGCCUGCGCCACUCGCCUCCUAACUCAUGGUAAGUGAAACAGAUCUAUCAUAAAUUAUGACGUACUAUAAUUAACUAUGACUAAAUAUAGUGCUGCAUUGUUUUCUGUUGUAUAUGCCAUACUUGAUCUACCUUUUGAACCUAACAAGCAAAUGGAGCUAGUUCGCUGUCCUUGCUACUCCAAAUAUCUAGCUAAAACGUUAACGUCAUUUCACCACCUAAAUGGCUGUCUGUUCACGAAACUUUGGAAGACAGUUAGUGUUAGAUGCCAGCUAGUGUUGUCAGACUGGCUAGCAGCCUGCAAGAGAUCACAUGCCGUAUGUAUGUGUGCAUUCUACCCGCACAACAGAUGUGAACACCCUUCGUCACCAACUCUUCUGUGCUAGACGUGGCGAAGCAGAGUCCAGUGAACUCCCACCGUGUGAGGAUUGCCUCUUCAUGCAUGCAAUUCGUGCUAACUAUCAGUCUGCAAUAUGGAGGCGGUCUCUGAAGACCCAACCCUCCUUGGCGGAUCCCAAGGAGAGUGGGUGAACCACAGACGAUGAUGGGAAGCUUACUGCCAGAGUGCACAUGUCUCAACAAUGGCCUUAAGUGCACAGUAUGUGCAAACUGCAAACCUG
Clupea harengus (Atlantic herring) is the source of this 3013-nucleotide long non-coding RNA. NCBI's taxonomy places the organism in Eukaryota, Metazoa, Chordata, Actinopteri, Clupeiformes, Clupeidae. The record is from Ensembl.